UACGUAGGUGGCAAGCGUUGUCCGGAUUUACUGGGCGUAAAGAGCGCGCAGGCGGUCGUUCAAGUCGCGUGUGAAAGCCCCCGGCUCAACUGGGGAGGGUCACGCGAUACUGAUCGACUCGAAGGCAGGAGAGGGUAGUGGAAUUCCCGGUGUAGUGGUGAAAUGCGUAGAUAUCGGGAGGAACACCAGUGGCGAAGGCGACUUCCUGGCCCGUUCUUGACGCUGAGGCGCGAAAGCUAGGGGAGCAAACGGG
This 253-nucleotide ribosomal RNA is filed under the name uncultured bacterium. Its description in RNAcentral is "partial 16S ribosomal RNA". It matches the Rfam family "Bacterial small subunit ribosomal RNA", at positions 524 to 776 of the family's 1533-position model. The record is from RNAcentral.